RNAcentral lists this ribosomal RNA (472 nucleotides) under uncultured bacterium. Its description in RNAcentral is "SSU rRNA". It matches the Rfam family "Bacterial small subunit ribosomal RNA", at positions 26 to 518 of the family's 1533-position model. The record is from RNAcentral.
AGGACGAACGCUGGCGGCGUGCUUAACACAUGCAAGUCGAGCGGAAAGGCCCUUCGGGGUACUCGAGCGGCGAACGGGUGAGUAACACGUGAGUAAUCUGCCCCUAGCUCUGGGAUAGCUCCGGGAAACCGGGAUUAAUACUGGAUACGACCACCUUAGACAUCUUUUGUGGUGGAAAGAAUUUCGGCUAGGGAUGAGCUCGCGGCCUAUCAGCUUGUUGGUGGGUAACGGCCUACCAAGGCGACGACGGGUAGCCGGCCUGAGAGGGCGACCGGCCACACUGGGACUGAGACACGGCCCAGACUCCUACGGGAGGCAGCAGUGGGGAAUAUUGCGCAAUGGGCGAAAGCCUGACGCAGCGACGCCGCGUGGGGGAUGAAGGCCUUCGGGUUGUAAACCCCUUUCAGCAGGGACGAAGCGAAAGUGACGGUACCUGCAGAAGAAGCGCCGGCUAACUACGCGCAGCAGCCGC